This 467-nucleotide ribosomal RNA is filed under the name uncultured bacterium. Its description in RNAcentral is "partial 16S ribosomal RNA". It matches the Rfam family "Bacterial small subunit ribosomal RNA", at positions 28 to 507 of the family's 1533-position model. The record is from RNAcentral.
GAUGAACGCUGACAGAAUGCUUAACACAUGCAAGUCAACUUGAAUUUGGGUUUUUAACUUAGGUUUGGGUGGCGGACGGGUGAGUAACGCGUAAAGAACUUGCCUCACAGCUAGGGACAACAUUUGGAAACGAAUGCUAAUACCUAAUAUUAUGAUAAUAGGGCAUCCUAUAAUUAUGAAAGCUAUAAGCGCUGUGAGAGAGCUUUGCGUCCCAUUAGCUAGUUGGAGAGGUAACGGCUCACCAAGGCGAUGAUGGGUAGCCGGCCUGAGAGGGUGAUCGGCCACAAGGGGACUGAGACACGGCCCUUACUCCUACGGGAGGCAGCAGUGGGGAAUAUUGGACAAUGGACCGAGAGUCUGAUCCAGCAAUUCUGUGUGCACGAUGAAGUUUUUCGGAAUGUAAAGUGCUUUCAGUUGGGAAGAAACAAAUGACGGUACCAACAGAAGAAGAGACGGCUAAAUACGUG